Molecule: ribosomal RNA, 540 nt
Filed under: Triticum aestivum (bread wheat)
Lineage: Eukaryota; Viridiplantae; Streptophyta; Magnoliopsida; Poales; Poaceae
Description: partial small subunit ribosomal RNA
Source: RNAcentral
AUGGCCGCUGCUCGGUGCUCCUCGUUCCCUGCUCUCUGCGUGGUGGUAGUAGUAGUGGUACUCAUCGGCGGCUGUGGCGCUGCGUCCGGCGCGGACGAAGAAGGGCUCAUCCACCUUCACUUCUACUUCCAUGAGGUCAACGCCGGCACGCCCAACGCCACCGUCCUCAACGUCGCCAGCCUGCACAAGAACUCGUCCACGUUCGGGGACCUGAACGUGUUCGACAACGCGCUGCGGGCGGGGCCGGACCCGGCGUCGCGGUUGGUCGGCAGAGCGCAGGGCCUGGCGCUCCACGCGUCGCUGGACGAGUCCGGCGGGCUCACGGCCAUCACCUUCGCCUUCUCCGACUACGGCGCGUACAGCGGCAGCACGCUGGCGACGCUGGGCCACAUCGGGGUGUCUGGCCCGGCGGAGCGGAGCAUCGUCGGCGGCACGGGCAAGCUCCGGUUCGCGAGAGGGUACAUGGUCAGCAGCCUCCUCAGCUCCACGAACACCUCCAUCGUCGUCGUCUUUGACAUGUACUUCACCCUGGGUCGCUGA